GAUGAACGCUGGCGGCGCGCCUAACACAUGCAAGUCGAACGGUUAAAGCACCUUCGGGUGUGUAUAAAGUGGCGAACGGCUGAGUAACACGUGGGCAACCUGCCUCUUGCUCUGGGAUAGCCUCGGGAAACCGAGGAUAAUACCGGAUACUCCGUACCUUUCGCAUGGAGGGGACGGGAAAGCGUAUACGGCAAGAGAUGGGCCUGCGGCCUGUUAGCUUGUUGGUGGGGUAACGGCCUACCAAGGCAAUGAUGGGUAGCUGGGUUGAGAGACCGACCAGCCAGAUUGGGACUGAGACACGGCCCAGACUCCUACGGGAGGCAGCAGUGGGGAAUCUUGCACAAUGGGCGAAAGCCUGAUGCAGCGACGCCGCGUGCGGGAUGAAGGCCCUAUGGGUUGUAAACCGCUUUCAGCAGGGAAGAGGCCGCAAGGUGACGGUACCUGCAGAAGAAGCUCCGGCUAACUACGUG
This 470-nucleotide ribosomal RNA is filed under the name uncultured bacterium. RNAcentral's name for it is "bacterial SSU rRNA". It matches the Rfam family "Bacterial small subunit ribosomal RNA", at positions 28 to 507 of the family's 1533-position model. The record is from RNAcentral.